GGACGGGGGGUGCUAUACAUGCAGUCGUACGCUUCUUUUUCCACCGGAGCUUGCUCCACCGGAAAAAGAAGAGUGGCGAACGGGUGAGUAACACGUGGGUAACCUGCCCAUCAGAAGGGGAUAACACUUGGAAACAGGUGCUAAUACCGUAUAACAAUCGAAACCGCAUGGUUUUGAUUUGAAAGGCGCUUUCGGGUGUCGCUGAUGGAUGGACCCGCGGUGCAUUAGCUAGUUGGUGAGGUAACGGCUCACCAAGGCCACGAUGCAUAGCCGACCUGAGAGGGUGAUCGGCCACAUUGGGACUGAGACACGGCCCAAACUCCUACGGGAGGCAGCAGUAGGGAAUCUUCGGCAAUGGACGAAAGUCUGACCGAGCAACGCCGCGUGAGUGAAGAAGGUUUUCGGAUCGUAAAACUCUGUUGUUAGAGAAGAACAAGGAUGAGAGUAACUGUUCAUCCCUUGACGGUAUCUAACCAGAAAGCCACGGCUAACUACGUGCCAGCAGCCGCGGUAAUACGUAGGUGGCAAGCGUUGUCCGGAUUUAUUGGGCGUAAAGCGAGCGCAGGCGGUUUCUUAAGUCUGAUGUGAAAGCCCCCGGCUCAACCGGGGAGGGUCAUUGGAAACUGGGAGACUUGAGUGCAGAAGAGGAGAGUGGAAUUCCAUGUGUAGCGGUGAAAUGCGUAGAUAUAUGGAGGAACACCAGUGGCGAAGGCGGCUCUCUGGUCUGUAACUGACGCUGAGGCUCGAAAGCGUGGGGAGCAAACAGGAUUAGAUACCCUGGUAGUCCACGCCGUAAACGAUGAGUGCUAAGUGUUGGAGGGUUUCCGCCCUUCAGUGCUGCAGCUAACGCAUUAAGCACUCCGCCUGGGGAGUACGACCGCAAGGUUGAAACUCAAAGGAAUUGACGGGGGCCCGCACAAGCGGUGGAGCAUGUGGUUUAAUUCGAAGCAACGCGAAGAAC
This 961-nucleotide ribosomal RNA is filed under the name Enterococcus faecium. RNAcentral's name for it is "bacterial SSU rRNA". It matches the Rfam family "Bacterial small subunit ribosomal RNA", at positions 38 to 969 of the family's 1533-position model. The record is from RNAcentral. Lineage: Bacteria; Bacillati; Bacillota; Bacilli; Lactobacillales; Enterococcaceae.